This is a long non-coding RNA of Salvelinus sp. IW2-2015, 995 nucleotides long. RefSeq lists it as uncharacterized. NCBI's taxonomy places the organism in Eukaryota, Metazoa, Chordata, Actinopteri, Salmoniformes, Salmonidae. The record is from RefSeq and is a predicted model, not a curated record.
AAGUAUAAUUAUUGGUUGUCCAUAUUACUCGAAUCCAGAGUCAUAUCUGCUCUGUUCGAAUCUUAUUCUGGUUGUUMUAGAUCUACAAUCUACAACCUACUAUACAAAGGGUAUACGUUUUUUUCUGCUCUCUUCUGAAUGGCCCAUCAUAACACCAUUCAUUGGUUACAUCACUCAAGAAUACACUGUCACAUAAGCAAAUACAUGAGGGUUGUGUAACUCGCACCCUCUGUGGUAUUGACAGCAUGACAGUGUCAUUUGAUUUACAUUUCAUCGAUGAUUGUAUUUGUUUGGCUUUCAAGCCAGCAUAAUCGUUCGGAGCAGAGACACAGACUGGAUACGUUAAUGCUGGCUAAACUAAACAGUGUGCUCUAUUUACCAAGCGUACUCCGCUGGUUCGUUAGCCAGCUAAGCUAGCUAGCUAGCCUGCCAGUCAACAUAUACUUUGGCUAUUUUUUUUUAUUACUCUGUGAUAUUCCCCACAUUCCUAUUUCUAUCUUUUCUGUCGACUUAAAUAAAAUAAUGUCAUGCACAUGCAGAUCAGCGGCGAGAUUGUUCAUAACUUCUCAAAAAGGUAUCUCUUCCACAGAGUCCAGUUAUUUUCUAUUGCAGACCAGGAACACCUGAAGUCCGAUUAACCAGAAGAGUUCCUGUGAGAUCAUUCUCCGAAUCAUCUGUAUGUUUUUCAUCAAAAGAUGUCAAAGAUGGCUCCGGUGAUGGAGGAAAGAAAUCAGUUGGKGAUGCAGGAAGUGGGAAAAGAGGAGGUUCCGGUGGCUCCGGAAAAGGAGGCAGCCAGCUACGCUGUCCCAAGUGUGGAGAUGCCUGCACUCAUGUAGAAACCUUUGUGUCUUCAACCCGCUUUGUGAAAUGUGAGAAAUGUCAUCACUUCUUUGUGGUGCUGUCAGAGACCGACUCCAACCAAGAGUCUCAAUAAGGAGCAGGAAGCAGCCAACGAGGCGUCAAACUGGCCUUCCAGCAGAACCUCCCCCCCCUCC